This is a long non-coding RNA of Melospiza melodia melodia, 1950 nucleotides long. RefSeq lists it as uncharacterized. The record is from RefSeq and is a predicted model, not a curated record. The transcript has 3 exons. NCBI's taxonomy places the organism in Eukaryota, Metazoa, Chordata, Aves, Passeriformes, Passerellidae.
UUAGUUUUGCUUUUUUUUAGUUGAUCUUGUUCCUUGUCCUCCUUUUUGUCUUCUUCAUUGUCAAUGAGAAAAACAUGGUGUUUUUCAUAAGAGCACCUAUUAGUGUUUAGUGCUAAAUUGUACAGUUACGUGUCAGGAUUUCAUGCAAAAUGUCACCAACACCAUGAAAAGACCUUUCCAGCCCAGACAUAAAUGUUUCUUACUGCAGUUUAUAGUAGCUGUUGUUACAAAAGUGAAGAGGAAGCCAAAGGAGGUUGUGUGUCAGCUUUCCUGGACCCCCAGAAUUUUCUAGACUGAGUGUGACUGAUAAUUUUGCAGACAUUGACAGAUUUAACACACUCAAUUACAAAACAAAGAGAGAACCUUUCAAGAGCUUUUCUGGACUGGGUGCAUGCUCUGUAAGUAAGACUUAAUUCUUUCAUGGAAAAUAAGGAGCACCUCAUCUAGAGAACAGCAUGUGUAGAACAGACAUCAGCUUGGGGAGGUCUGUACUGCAACAGCUCCACUUCUCCUAAUAAAUGCUGGUGACAGAAGCCUAACAGGAAAAUGAGUCUAUAUGACAAAGCAUGCACUUUCCCCCCUCCCAGGGCAGCUUCCUGCACAGCCUGUUUAUACAGCCUACACGACUGUCAGCUUGUGUUUGAAUGCUUACAGUGUGGCAACAGCUGAUGGAUCUAAACUCCCAUGACUCCCUUCUAUUCAAAAGAAACCAAAUUUCCUUUAGCUGCUGGACAUGUGACACCCUUUAAACUUAAACCUGUGAGGGGGAAGUCUAUGAAAAGUAAAUUGAAACCAUUUCUUCAGUAUGGUAAGAUUACAGUUUGCCCCUCCAUUAAAUAAUGUGGUAUAUAAAAUAAUGACGUGGAAACUAACCUCUGAAGUUCUACCACUUGCCAGGUAAAAGACUCUUACCUCUCUGGUACUAAAACUCACUCCAGUAAGAGCUUGUAAACAAAGUGUGUCCCAGUAGACGUGGAUGGUAAGUCCUUCUCCUAAUUCAUGAAUACUAACACACUAGUGAGUACUAACAUUUUACUUCUAUAUUCUGUGAUCUGCAAUCACAGGAAAGAUAGAAAUGUUUCAUUUUCUUCUUACCAUGAUUCCCUUUAAUGUCUAUCCACUUGGUUUUUUCCAGGACCCUUGAUCUCUUCAGGAUUGACUGAUAAGUUUUCCACUCAUCUUCUACCUGCUCAGAUCCCAGUUUAUCUCUCGUCUUAGCAUCUGUCAGAUCACCUGAGAGUGUACAAAGGUGAGAUAUAACUAGAGGCCUACACAGCUUAUACAAAUACUGUAACUAGACAAGCAUGCCAUCCCUGCCUCCAAGUCUAAGUGGCUGCAGGCCUGGGUGCAAUCUGCUUAUUUCUGUAUCUGGUCCACAUGAUCAGCGUAAAUGCCUUCUAAAUGCAGAUGCAGCAACCUCAGCAGACAUCUACUGACCACAUCACUGCAGCACUUUCACUAAUUAGGUAAUAACUUUCUAUAGAAGCAAAACUCCAGGUCUAGCAUUAAGAUUCUAAAACCUUGCACACAGCAACGGCUUAAAGUUUUUUCAAUUAUCUUGUCAAAACUUCAUCUAUUUCAAUGGCAAGCUGUCAUAUGAAGUGGCAAGGCUUAUUUCACCUCUCUUGGUAUGAUAUGUUCAAAUGGAAACCAGCAAUAAAAUCCUACAUUAAUUCACAGGUGAAUUUCAUACAAAUGAACAGGGAUUGUUCUGAGGGGGGAACUGUAUCUUAGUGGCUAACUACAGACAUUGCUCACUUCUGUAAUUUCAAACAUAAAGAAUGUAGAAUCAUGACCAGAGCAAGAGGGAGAGGGUAGCUGAUAGCAAGGGCUAUGAUGCAGCAACACCUACUGGGAAAACAUUAGCUAUCUUGUGUGAUUGUGUCUGCUAUGUAUAGAACACACUAAACUCACUGAAGAAACUGAAUGCUCAAUAAAAUAAUAAUAAUU